GCGACCGUAGUGCAGUGGUAGAGCAUCCGUCUACGGUGCGCAAGGUUGUGGGUUCAACCCCCGGCCGGUCACA
This 73-nucleotide transfer RNA is filed under the name Clytia hemisphaerica. RNAcentral describes it as "tRNA-Arg for anticodon ACG". It matches the Rfam family "tRNA". Rfam says of the family: Transfer RNA (tRNA) molecules are approximately 80 nucleotides in length. Their secondary structure includes four short double-helical elements and three loops (D, anti-codon, and T loops). The record is from Rfam by way of RNAcentral. Lineage: Eukaryota; Metazoa; Cnidaria; Hydrozoa; Leptothecata; Clytiidae.